CGAAUUAAAGUUUUAUUAAAAAUAUUUCAUUUACAUUGAAAAGAAAUUGAUUUAUUUCAUUUAAUUUGG
RNAcentral lists this transfer RNA (69 nucleotides) under Zygaena favonia elissae. RNAcentral describes it as "transfer RNA-Val (GUN)". Lineage: Eukaryota; Metazoa; Arthropoda; Insecta; Lepidoptera; Zygaenidae. The record is from RNAcentral.